Molecule: ribosomal RNA, 67 nt
Filed under: Bacteroidales bacterium
Lineage: Bacteria; Pseudomonadati; Bacteroidota; Bacteroidia; Bacteroidales
Also listed under: 1 other name
Description: partial 16S ribosomal RNA
Rfam family: Bacterial small subunit ribosomal RNA
Source: RNAcentral
ACAAAGAAGAGUUUGAUCCUGGCUCAGGAUGAACGCUAGCGGCAGGCUUAACACAUGCAAGUCGAGG